RNAcentral lists this ribosomal RNA (229 nucleotides) under uncultured bacterium. RNAcentral describes it as "partial 16S ribosomal RNA". It matches the Rfam family "Bacterial small subunit ribosomal RNA", at positions 526 to 779 of the family's 1533-position model. The record is from RNAcentral.
CAAGUCAGACUAGUGUUAAUCAUCUUUAUUAGGUUUAAAAAGUACGUAGACAGUUUAUCUAGCCUAUAAAAGGGGACGGGUAUCCUAGAGUUUUAUGAGAGAGGAAGAUGUUUGUACGACAGGGGUAAAGAUGAAAUUUUUUGAUCUCUGUUUGACGGGUAAUGGCGAAGGCAAACCUCUAUGUAAAAACUGACGUUCAGGGACGAAGGCUUGGAACACGAAAAGGAUU